GCAGAAGGUCGGGUGGUCGCCCUCUCCAUGGGAGGGGGAGGAAAGUCCGGGCUCCGAAGAGCGCGAUGCCGGAUAACGUCCGGGCGGGGUGACCCGACGGAAAGUGGCACAGAAAAGACACGGCCUGUCAAGGCAAAGGUGAAAUGGCGCGGUAAGAGCGCACCGGCGAUAUGGAGACAUAUCGGCCUGCUAAACCCCAUCGGGAGCAAGGUUCAAUAUGGAGAGGAUGACGCUGCUCGCCGACUCUCCAGGUGGAACCGCAUGAGGGUGCGAGCAAUCGCAUCCCUAGAGAGAUGACCACACAAAUACAGAACCCGGCUUACAGACCUUCUGCACUC
RNAcentral lists this RNase P RNA (338 nucleotides) under Chthonomonas sp. RNAcentral's name for it is "RNase P RNA component class A". It matches the Rfam family "Bacterial RNase P class A". Rfam says of the family: Ribonuclease P (RNase P) is a ubiquitous endoribonuclease, found in archaea, bacteria and eukarya as well as chloroplasts and mitochondria. Lineage: Bacteria; Bacillati; Armatimonadota; Chthonomonadia; Chthonomonadales; Chthonomonadaceae. The record is from RNAcentral.